Molecule: long non-coding RNA, 2535 nt
Organism: Xyrauchen texanus (razorback sucker)
Lineage: Eukaryota; Metazoa; Chordata; Actinopteri; Cypriniformes; Catostomidae
Exons: 3
Source: RefSeq, a predicted model, not a curated record
CUCUGGAAAGCAGUGAGGUUAAGGAAAUUUAAUAAUAGGCAGAUGAAACUGUCAGCAGCAGAAAGGCAACGGCAAUACAGGGCACGACGAGAUGCCGACCCUGUAAGGAAGGCAGAAAAUGUGCAAAAAGAUAGAAAUGGAUGCCACAAAAGGAAAAAUGCAGGCCAGACAAGCACAGUGGCCGAUCUGGGUGAAAGAGAGAAAAGGUACAAGCGCAGGUAUUGGAAAGAGGCACAGCAGAGGUGCAGAGCAGAAAAGCAGAGACUUGUAGAGAUGACACCACCACAAAGUCCUGAAUCAGACCCUGAACCACAGAUAUCCAGACAAAGAAGAUCAGGACAAAGAAAAUUAAAACUGCAGAACUCCAAAUUAUACAGAUAAAUUGAAAAAUUAAAGAUUUUGCUGAAAAAGAAAACAACCUCUGUCUGAAAAUACCAGAAACACCUUCAGAGACUGACAUAUGUGGCUGAAUCCCCUCGUUCAAAAACGCGGAAGCAAAUAGGAAAACAUAAAGUCCCUGCAGAGGUUCAAAAAACCCUCUUGUUUCAUAAUGCACUGAUAAAUAAUAUCAGACAAAAGUACCAAGACACUAAAAAAGAAAGAGUGCGUCAGAUUAUAUCACGAAUUGUGUCAGGAAAGAUUAUAAAAAAUUACAAACUACAGAAGACAACACAGACCUCACUUGGUUUUUCAAGAAAGCGGUUCGAGAAGAGGAACCAAAGUGAACAGAUUUUUUCAAAGAAGAAAAUAUCGAUCAGCACAAAGCAAGCUCCAAAAGAACGUACAGGAAUUAUUUUUGAGAGACGAUGUCAGCCGCUUGACUGCAGGAAAAAAACAAACCAUUACAAGAGGAAAAGUAAAAAUGCAGAAAAGGUUUCUAAAUGAUACCAUAAAAAAUCUUCAUCGCAAAUUCCUUCUAGAGAAUCCAUCAAGUCUGCUGUCAUAUGCACUUUUCUGUUGUAUGCGUCCUUUCUGGGUUGUCCACCCAUCCAUAUCUGACAGAGACACCCGUCUCUGUAAAGUUCAUGAAAACUUAUCCUUCCUUGUGCGGAAGCUUCAUACACUCAAACUUCUUGGGACGACUAACUUGGAAAUCAUUGCAAACUCAAUAUGCUGUGAUCCUGCAAGCAAAGAAUGCAUGUAUGGAGAAUGUGCCAAAUGCAGAAGCAAUAUCUAUCAGCUCAACAGUGAGUAUGAUGCUGAGGCUCCAGUGAGAUUUGUUCAGUGGACAACUGAACUUGGAGAAAGGAGAAAGAAUCACAACCAGUCCGAAUGACUGUGAAAAGGGAGAUGGAGUGUUCUCUAGGAGAUAUGACUGAUAGGUUUCAGAACCAGCUGAGAGUUUUCACAAGGCACCAUUUCAAUAUUAAAACACAAUACAACCACUACCGGGAGCUCAAGAAAAGCAUGAAAUCUGACGAGUGUUUGAUUCACAUUGAUUUUUCUGAAAAUUAUGCAUGUAAAUUAUCAGGCAGUUCAUUUUGCAUCCUCUCAGCAGCAGGCAACUCUGCAUACAGGAAUCCUUCAUGUGGGUGGAGUGGACAAACAUUUGUGCUUUACUACCAUCUCAACAUCAAAAGAGAAAAGUCCCUCCGCUAUAUGGACACACUUGUCCCCUGUGCUUGAUCAUGUGAAAACCCACCAUCCAUCAGUAAGUUUAGUUAAUUUUUUUAGUGAUGGAAAGUGCACCCAAUACCAUCAGAAGGGCAACUUCUAUAUGUUUAGCACAGAGUUGUUCAAGAAGGGCUUCAAGAAAGGCACAUGGAGCUUCUUUGAAGCAAGCCACGGAAAAGGUGCACCAGAUGGAGUGGGUGGAGUUUUAAAAAGAACAGCGGACAGACUGGUCAGUGAAGGAAAAGACAUUCAAAAUGCCAAGAAAUUAUAUGAUUGUCUACUGAAUGUCCAGACCUCUAUACAGCUGUUCUACAUUGAUGAGGACGCUGUGGGGAAAGCUGUAUAAAAGAUGCCAAAACUGCACUGUUCUCAUUGCAACUCAAUUACACUGGCAGAAAAUGUUGUUGUUUGAUCUUUUAACUAUAGGUGGUCAACUCUGUUAUUAAUGUCAACUCUGUUUGUUUAAGGUUUUACUUUAAAAAUGAUCAUCAUAUGUGUUUUAUUGUUAACAAAUUGAUCAGAAUCUUAUUAACAUAACUAGUAUUCUUACGGCAUGGAGUUUUAAAGGAUUUCAUUCAUUUUUAAAGCUAUGCUUAGAGAAAAUGCACACUAUCUUGGCAACUUUUCAGUUAAAUGUAUUGAUAUUUUUACCCCAAAACAAAAAGUCUCUAUCUUAUUAUGCUUAAAGUUGCAUUAAUGGAUGAAAAGACAAAAGUUCUCUUAGGGAGGACAGGUUUUAAAAUUGUGUUACAUUUUUUAACUGUAUAUAUUUGACCCAAUUUGUCUAGAACAGAGUUGACAGAUUUUCCUGUUAGUACAUUGAUGUUCUGUCAUAAUAUUUUAAAUCUUGCAAGUUUAAGAUCAGCAAAUAUUGAAAAUGUUAAAUUUAAAGUGCAUUCAAUGGAAAUAAAAAAGUUUAAC